AACGAACGCUGGCGGCAUGCCUAACACAUGCAAGUCGAACGAGACCUUCGGGUCUAGUGGCGCACGGGUGCGUAACGCGUGGGAACCUGCCCUUAGGUUCGGAAUAACUCCCCGAAAGGGGUGCUAAUACCGGAUAAUGUCUUCGGACCACAGAUUUAUCGCCUUUGGAUGGGCACGCGUUGUAUUAGCUAGUUGGUAGGGUAAAAGCCUACCACGGCGACGAUACAUAGCUGGUCUGAGAGGAUGAUCAGCCACACUGGGACUGAGACACGGCCCAGACUCCUACGGGAGGCAGCAGUGGGGAAUAUUGGACAAUGGGCGAAAGCCUGAUCCAGCAAUGCCGCGUGAGUGAUGAAGUCCUUAGGGUUGUAAAGCUCUUUUACCCGGGAUUAUAAUGACAGUACCGAGAGAAUAAGCACCGGCUAACUCCGUG
This 433-nucleotide ribosomal RNA is filed under the name uncultured bacterium. Its description in RNAcentral is "partial 16S ribosomal RNA". It matches the Rfam family "Bacterial small subunit ribosomal RNA", at positions 29 to 507 of the family's 1533-position model. The record is from RNAcentral.